CCUACGGGAGGCAGCAGUGGGGAAUAUUGGACAAUGGGCGAAAGCCUGAUCCAGCAAUGCCGCGUGAGUGAUGAAGGCCUUAGGGUCGUAAAGCUCUUUUACCCGGGAUGAUAAUGACAGUACCGGGAGAAUAAGCCCCGGCUAACUCCGUGCCAGCAGCCGCGGUAAUACGGAGGGGGCUAGCGUUGUUCGGAAUUACUGGGCGUAAAGCGUGCGUAGGCGGUUAUUCAAGUCAGAGGUGAAAGCCCGGGGCUCAACCCCGGAACGGCCUUUGAAACUAGGUAGCUAGAAUCUUGGAGAGGUCAGUGGAAUUCCGAGUGUAGAGGUGAAAUUCGUAGAUAUUCGGAAGAACACCAGUGGCGAAGGCGACUGACUGGACAAGUAUUGACGCUGAGGCACGAAAGCGUGGGGAGCAAACAGGAUUAGAUACCCUGGUAGUCCACGCCGUAAACGAUGAUAACUAGCUGUUCGGGUACUUGGUAUCUGAGUGGCGCAGCUAACGCAUUAAGUUAUCCGCCUGGGGAGUACGGUCGCAAGNUUAAAACUUAAAUGAAUUGACGG
This 561-nucleotide ribosomal RNA is filed under the name uncultured bacterium. RNAcentral describes it as "bacterial SSU rRNA". It matches the Rfam family "Bacterial small subunit ribosomal RNA", at positions 338 to 916 of the family's 1533-position model. The record is from RNAcentral.